GAGUAAUGUCUGGGAAACUGCCUGAUGGAGGGGGAUAACUACUGGAAACGGUAGCUAAUACCGCAUGACCUCGCAAGAGCAAAGUGGGGGACCUUCGGGCCUCACGCCAUCGGAUGUGCCCAGAUGGGAUUAGCUAGUAGGUGGGGUAAUGACUCACCUAGGCGACGAUCCCUAGCUGGUCUGAGAGGAUGACCAGCCACACUGGAACUGAGACACGGUCCAGACUCCUACGGGAGGCAGCAGUGGGGAAUAUUGCACAAUGGGCGCAAGCCUGAUGCAGCCAUGCCGCGUGUGUGAAGAAGGCCUUAGGGUUGUAAAGCACUUUCAGCGAGGAGGAAGGCGUUGUAGUUAAUAGCUGCAGCGAUUGACGUUACUCGCAGAAGAAGCACCGGCUAACUCCGUGCCAGCAGCCGCGGUAAUACGGAGGGUGCAAGCGUUAAUCGGAAUUACUGGGCGUAAAGCGCACGCAGGCGGUUUGUUAAGUCAGAUGUGAAAUC
This 497-nucleotide ribosomal RNA is filed under the name uncultured Gammaproteobacteria bacterium. RNAcentral's name for it is "bacterial SSU rRNA". It matches the Rfam family "Bacterial small subunit ribosomal RNA", at positions 108 to 601 of the family's 1533-position model. Lineage: Bacteria; Pseudomonadati; Pseudomonadota; Gammaproteobacteria. The record is from RNAcentral.